This 249-nucleotide unclassified non-coding RNA is filed under the name uncultured fungus. RNAcentral's name for it is "sequence contains ITS1, 5.8S rRNA gene". The stretch from base 201 to 249 matches the Rfam family "5.8S ribosomal RNA", at positions 1 to 49 of the family's 154-position model. Lineage: Eukaryota; Fungi. The record is from RNAcentral.
UCUCCGUAGGUGAACCUGCGGAGGGAUCAUUACAGAGUUCAUGCCCUUCGGGGUAGAUCUCCCACCCUGUGUAUUAUUACCUUUGUUGCUUUGGCGGGCCGUUAGGCUUCGGCUUGGCUACCGGCUCCGGCUGAGGUGCGCCUGCCAGAGGACCCCAACUCUAUGUUUAGUGUCGUCUGAGUACUAUUUUAAUACGUUAAAACUUUCAACAACGGAUCUCUUGGUUCUGGCAUCGAUGAAGAACGCAGC